Long non-coding RNA from Xenopus laevis (African clawed frog), 946 nucleotides. RefSeq lists it as uncharacterized. The transcript has 5 exons. The record is from RefSeq and is a predicted model, not a curated record. Lineage: Eukaryota; Metazoa; Chordata; Amphibia; Anura; Pipidae.
AAUAUUUCAGCCAUUAUUUGUAGAGCAUUAAGCUGUGACCCACCCCACCUCCUUUCCUCCCCCUGGAGCUCUAGACUUCAUGAUGCCUUGACUGCUCGCUUAACAUGGAGUUGUCUUUUAUUUUUAUUUUUUUUAUAAACCCAGUCACAACAGAGAAAGAAGAGGAGGAGGAGGAGAAAGAGAAAGAGAGACGAAAACUAAAAACCCUGAAGGACGGGUCUCUAAAUAUCUAAAGAAACCACAGGGAAUUCCUUUUAAGAUCAGCAGAAAGCAAGGCAUCUGCGAUCACAGUACUGUAUACAGAACCAAGGCACUGCUGCCAAAAAGGAAAGGAAAGUUGCUGGUGUACUUAGCAGUACAGGAUUUCUGGGGUAUUCUAAAGUACUUGCAGCUCUUUGAAUCCAGGAAGAAAAACUACUUGAUCCAUUGCACAAACCGAAUGGGAAGCAACAAAAGCACUCUACUAUGAGGCCCAAUAUGGGAGCAUCAUAAAGAAAAUGAAGAAAAGCCACUCAGUGUUCACAGUAGUAGAUACAGGUUAUCCUUGUCAAGCUAAUUUUGGCCAGACCCGUGCAGCCUAUAUUUGAUUUCUUUGCAUAAAAAAUUCAAUGGAGGAAACUCCAAGUACAAACCUUCAUACUUAAAGAGGUAUUUGACUUUCUGCUGCUUUCUGUGAAGCCACUCGAGUCUUUUUGCCACUGUGCAGGAGCCACCGAGAACGUGACCAGUUCCAGGGAGUAACACCUGACUGAAGGCUAAAGCUUUUCCUGGAGAUCAGUCUAACUUGAUUUAUGAAAAACAGAAGAUGUUUCUCCUGACAAAAUAUUAUUUAAUCCAUUCUCCUCAACAUAGGCCUUUGUUCUUUCCUUGAAAUUAGCUCUGUGUUCUGUAUCGCACAUCUUUAUGGUACCAUUUAUUGAUAUAACUAAAUAAGAUUAUUACUGAA